This 407-nucleotide ribosomal RNA is filed under the name uncultured bacterium. Its description in RNAcentral is "partial 16S ribosomal RNA". It matches the Rfam family "Bacterial small subunit ribosomal RNA", at positions 355 to 774 of the family's 1533-position model. RNAcentral also lists the same sequence under 1 other name. The record is from RNAcentral.
UGGGGAAUAUUGCACAAUGGGCGCAAGCCUGAUGCAGCGACGCCGCGUGAGGGAUGACGGCCUUCGGGUUGUAAACCUCUUUCAGCACAGACGAAGCGCAAGUGACGGUAUGUGCAGAAGAAGGACCGGCCAACUACGUGCCAGCAGCCGCGGUAAUACGUAGGGUCCGAGCGUUGUCCGGAAUUACUGGGCGUAAAGAGCUCGUAGGUGGUUUGUCGCGUUGUUCGUGAAAACUCACAACUCAAUUGUGGGCGUGCGGGCGAUACGGGCAGACUUGAGUACUGCAGGGGAGACUGGAAUUCCUGGUGUAGCGGUGGAAUGCGCAGAUAUCAGGAGGAACACCGGUGGCGAAGGCGGGUCUCUGGGCAGUAACUGACGCUGAGGAGCGAAAGCGUGGGGAGCGAACA